UCCAGACUCCUACGGGAGGCAGCAGUGGGGGAUAUUGCACAAUGGGGGAAACCCUGAUGCAGCGACGCCGCGUGAGUGAAGAAGUAUUUCGGUAUGUAGAGCUCUAUCAGCAGGGAAGAAAAAAGACGGUACCUGACUAAGAAGCCCCGGCUAACUACGUGCCAGCAGCCGCGGUAAUACGUAGGGGGCAAGCGUUAUCCGGAUUUACUGGGUGUAAAGGGAGCGUAGACGGCAAUACAAGUCGGAAGUGAAAUACCCGGGCUCAACCUGGGAACUGCUUUGGAAACUGUAUGGCUGGAGUGCUGGAGAGGUAAGCGGAAUUCCUAGUGUAGCGGUGAAAUGCGUAGAUAUUAGGAGGAACACCAGUGGCGAAGGCGGCUUACUGGACAGUAACUGACGUUGAGGCUCGAAAGCGUGGGGAGCAAACAGGAUUAGAUACCCGAGUAU
RNAcentral lists this ribosomal RNA (447 nucleotides) under uncultured bacterium. Its description in RNAcentral is "bacterial SSU rRNA". It matches the Rfam family "Bacterial small subunit ribosomal RNA", at positions 330 to 793 of the family's 1533-position model. The record is from RNAcentral.